GGUCCCGUAGCUCAACGGAAAGAGCACCCGGCAUCGUGGAGGGGCGUGCGGGUUCGAAUCCCGCCGGGACAG
RNAcentral lists this transfer RNA (72 nucleotides) under Lutibaculum baratangense AMV1. Its description in RNAcentral is "Phyllobacteriaceae bacterium AMV1 tRNA". It matches the Rfam family "tRNA". From Rfam's summary of the family: Transfer RNA (tRNA) molecules are approximately 80 nucleotides in length. The record is from Rfam by way of RNAcentral. Lineage: Bacteria; Pseudomonadati; Pseudomonadota; Alphaproteobacteria; Hyphomicrobiales; Tepidamorphaceae.